Molecule: unclassified non-coding RNA, 291 nt
Filed under: Hevea brasiliensis (rubber tree)
Lineage: Eukaryota; Viridiplantae; Streptophyta; Magnoliopsida; Malpighiales; Euphorbiaceae
Source: RNAcentral
UUUGCCUGGUAAUGCUAGAGUUGGCAUAGGAUGGCCCCACGUCAUGGCUACCAAAUUCUGAUCCAACAUCAACCUUUGGAUCAUAAGCAGGAAACCGAGUCUGCAGUGGAACAACUUCCUCAUUGGUAAUCUGCUUCAAAUAAUCUUCCAGAUCACCAGUACUAAAAAUGGCGGUGUCAUCAAGUAGCACUCCACGUGAAUGUACACUAACCGCCUCCUGUCUCACUUCCUGAAUUGCAUCCUCCAGUCUCACUUCCUGAAUUGCAUCCUCCAGUCUCACUUCCUGAAUUG